GAAUAUUUAAGUUUACAAUCUUUAUGAAUCCUCAGAUUCUUCUUUCCAAUGAUAAAUAAAUUCAAGGGCCUUGGAGCUUGAUCUUGAAUCUAUGUUUCUUGCCACGAACGAUGAUCUUGUUCUUGAGCUUGGGCUUGAUUCUUCUUCGUUCUUGAGCUUGAAAUUGUUUAUUCUUCGUUCUUGAACUUGAACUUGAUUGCUUGAAGCUUGAAACUUCUAGAGCAAUUUGCAGCGUUUGAUCCACGAGCUCUUUCUUGCUUCUUAU
This 265-nucleotide long non-coding RNA is filed under the name Nicotiana benthamiana. Its description in RNAcentral is "long non-coding RNA (NBEN_LNC040065)". Lineage: Eukaryota; Viridiplantae; Streptophyta; Magnoliopsida; Solanales; Solanaceae. The record is from RNAcentral.